CCUUGAUCCCCCUGGGCUCAGGACGAACGCUGCCGGCGUGCCUAAUACAUGCAAGUCGAGCGGACAGAUGGGAGCUUGCUCCCUGAUGUUAGCGGCGGACGGGUGAGUAACACGUGGGUAACCUGCCUGUAAGACUGGGAUACCUCCGGAAACCCGGGGCUAAUACCGGAUGGUUGUUUGAACCGCAUGGUUCAAACAUAAAAGGUGGCUUCGGCUACCACUUACAGAUGGACCCGCGGCGCAUUAGCUAGUUGGUGAGGUAACGCCUCACCAAGGCAACGAUGCGUAGCCGACCUGAGAGGGUGAUCGCCCACACUGGGACUGAGACACGCCCCAGACUCCUACGGGAGGCAGCAGUAGGGAAUCUUCCGCAAUGGACGAAAGUCUGACGGAGCAACGCCGCGUGAGUGAUGAAGGU
This 418-nucleotide ribosomal RNA is filed under the name Bacillus subtilis. RNAcentral describes it as "bacterial SSU rRNA". It matches the Rfam family "Bacterial small subunit ribosomal RNA", at positions 1 to 415 of the family's 1533-position model. Lineage: Bacteria; Bacillati; Bacillota; Bacilli; Caryophanales; Bacillaceae. The record is from RNAcentral.